This 373-nucleotide ribosomal RNA is filed under the name uncultured bacterium. RNAcentral's name for it is "bacterial SSU rRNA". It matches the Rfam family "Bacterial small subunit ribosomal RNA", at positions 521 to 896 of the family's 1533-position model. The record is from RNAcentral.
UAAUACGUAGGUGGCAAGCGUUGUCCGGAUUUAUUGGGUUUAAAGGGUGCGUAGGCGGCUUUGUAAGUCAGUGGUGAAAUAUGGCAGCUUAACUGUCAGGGUGCCAAUGAUACUGCAGAGCUUGAGUACAGAUGAGGUAGGCGGAAUUGACGGUGUAGCGGUGAAAUGCUUAGAUAUCGUCAAGAACACCUAUAGCGAAGGCAGCUUACUAGGCUGUAACUGACGCUGAGGCACGAAAGUGUGGGGAUCAAACAGGAUUAGAUACCCUGGUAGUCCACACUGUAAACGUUGAAGACUCGCUGUGUGCGAUAUACAGUACGCGGCUUAGCGAAAGCGAUAAGUCUUCCACCUGGGGAGUACGCCGGCAACGGUG